GAUGAACGCUGGCGGCGUGCCUAAUACAUGCAAGUCGAGCGAACAGACGAGGAGCUUGCUCCUCUGACGUUAGCGGCGGACGGGUGAGUAACACGUGGAUAACCUACCUAUAAGACUGGGAUAACUUCGGGAAACCGGAGCUAAUACCGGAUAAUAUAUUGAACCUCAUGGUUCAAUAGUGAAAGUCGGUUUUUCUGUCACUUAUAGAUGGAUAAGCGCCGCAUUAGCUAGUUGGUAAGGUAACGGCUUAGCAACGCAACGAUGCGUAGACGACCUGAGAGGGUGAUCGGCCACACUGGAACUGAGACACGGUCCAGACUCCUACGGGAGGCAGCAGUAGGGAAUCGUCCGCGAUGGGCGAAAGCGUGACGGAGCAACGCCGCGUGAGUGAUGAAGGUCUUCGGAUCGUAAAACUCUGUUAUUCGGGAAGAACAAAUGUGUAAGUAACUAUGCACGUCUUGACGGUACCUAAUCAGAAAGCCACGGCUAACUACGUG
RNAcentral lists this ribosomal RNA (497 nucleotides) under uncultured bacterium. Its description in RNAcentral is "partial 16S ribosomal RNA". It matches the Rfam family "Bacterial small subunit ribosomal RNA", at positions 28 to 507 of the family's 1533-position model. The record is from RNAcentral.